Molecule: ribosomal RNA, 1909 nt
Filed under: soil metagenome
Description: bacterial LSU rRNA
Rfam family: Bacterial large subunit ribosomal RNA
Source: RNAcentral
AUCACCAGCUAAGGUCCCUAAGCGUGUGCUAAGUGGGAAAGGAUGUGGAGUUGCUGUGACAACCAGGAGGUUGGCUUAGAAGCAGCCACCCUUGAAAGAGUGCGUAAUAGCUCACUGGUCAAGUGAUUCCGCGCCGACAAUGUAACGGGGCUCAAGCACGCCACCGAAGUUGUGGCAUUGACAUUAUUGGUAGGCCUUCGUGGUCCAGCCGUGUUGAUGGGUAGGAGAGCGUCGUGUGGCCAGCGAAGCGGCGGUGUGAACCAGCCGUGGAGGCUACACGAGUGAGAAUGCAGGCAUGAGUAGCGAAAGACGUGUGAGAAACACGUCCUCCGAAAGACCAAGGGUUCCAGGGUCAAGCUAAUCUUCCCUGGGUAAGUCGGGACCUAAGGCGAGGCCGACAGGCGUAGUCGAUGGACAACGGGUUGAUAUUCCCGUACCGGCGAAGAACCGCCCAAACCAAUCCAGUAAUGCUAAGUGUCUGAAUCCCACUGACGGAUCCCUUCGGGGUGAAGCGUUGGGCCUAGCACACGACCCUAUGCUGAGGCGGUUAGCGUAUUAACAGGUGUGACGCAGGAAGGUAGCCCAAGCCAGGCGAUGGUUGUCCUGGUGCAAGUGCGUAGGCCGAGUGAUAGGCAAAUCCGUCACUCAUACAGGCUGAGACACGAUGCGGAUAAAAAGUGGGUGAUCCUAUGCUGCCAAGAAAAGCAUCGACGCGAGGUUCAAGCCGCCCGUACCCCAAACCGACUCAGGUGGUCAGGUAGAGAAUACCAAGGAGAUCGAGAGAAUCGUGGUUAAGGAACUCGGCAAAAUGCCCCCGUAACUUCGGGAGAAGGGGGGCCUUCGACGUAUUAGGACUUGCUCCGAAAGCGUUUGGAGGCCGCAGAGACUAGUGGGUAGCGACUGUUUACUAAAAACACAGGUCCGUGCCAAGUCGCAAGACGAUGUAUACGGACUGACGCCUGCCCGGUGCUGGAAGGUUAAGAGGACCGGUUAGCCGCAAGGCGAAGCUGAGAAUUUAAGCCCCAGUAAACGGCGGUGGUAACUAUAACCAUCCUAAGGUAGCGAAAUUCCUUGUCGGGUAAGUUCCGACCUGCACGAAUGGCGUAACGACUUCCCAACUGUCUCAACCGCGAACUCGGCGAAAUUGCAUUACGAGUAAAGAUGCUCGUUACGCGCAGCAGGACGGAAAGACCCCGUGACCUUUACUACAGCUUGGUAUUGGUGUUCGGUGUGGCUUGUGUAGGAUAGGUGGGAGACUGUGAAGCUGGCACGCUAGUGUCGGUGGAGUCAUUGUUGAAAUACCACUCUGGUCACUCUGGAUAUCUAACUUCGAACCGUAAUCCGGUUCAGGGACAGUGCCUGGUGGGUAGUUUAACUGGGGCGGUUGCCUCCCAAAAAGUAACGGAGGCGCCCAAAGGUUCCCUCAACCUGGUUGGCAAUCAGGUGGCGAGUGUAAGUGCACAAGGGAGCUUGACUGUGAGACUGACAGGUCGAGCAGGGACGAAAGUCGGGACUAGUGAUCCGGCAGUGGCUUGUGGAAGCGCUGUCGCUCAACGGAUAAAAGGUACCUCGGGGAUAACAGGCUGAUCUUGCCCAAGAGUCCAUAUCGACGGCAUGGUUUGGCACCUCGAUGUCGGCUCGUCGCAUCCUGGGGCUGGAGUAGGUCCCAAGGGUUGGGCUGUUCGCCCAUUAAAGCGGUACGCGAGCUGGGUUUAGAACGUCGUGAGACAGUUCGGUCCCUAUCCGCUGCGCGCGUAGGAAGUUUGAGAGGAUCUGACCCUAGUACGAGAGGACCGGGUUGGACGAACCUCUGGUGUGUCAGUUGUUCCGCCAGGAGCACCGCUGAUUAGCUACGUUCGGGAUGGAUAACCGCUGAAAGCAUCUAAGCGGGAAGCCGGCCUCAAGAUGA